This 85-nucleotide transfer RNA is filed under the name Vibrio sp. D431a. RNAcentral's name for it is "tRNA-Tyr". It matches the Rfam family "tRNA". Rfam says of the family: Transfer RNA (tRNA) molecules are approximately 80 nucleotides in length. The record is from RNAcentral. Lineage: Bacteria; Pseudomonadati; Pseudomonadota; Gammaproteobacteria; Vibrionales; Vibrionaceae.
GGUGAAGUUCCCGAGCGGCCAAAGGGAUCAGACUGUAAAUCUGACGGCUCUGCCUUCGCAAGUUCGAAUCUUGCCUUCACCACCA